UCCAAGCUUGUAUGCAACAUAUACUUCUUGAGCUCUAGCUUUAAUCUUACAUAUAUGUCUAUCUCUGUGUGUAUUUAUGGAUAUAUACUCAUGUCAUGCAUCACAUCUGCCCAUCUAGGCAAGUUGUCAACACCCUCUGUUUUGCAGUGCACUCGCCCAGGAGCUUCAAGUCUAUGAAGGUCCCAAAGAAUCUUCUUGAGCUCUUCUGGAGAUUCCUGUUGAACCACAUUCCUACUUAAAAGAGAAGGCAAUUUACAAUAGUAUUGUUUGAAUCAGAAACAUAAAAAGACUAAAUCUUUCAUUGGCAGUCAUCAUUCAUUUGAACUGGGGAUGAAGCUAGCAGCUUAUCAGUAGAAGAACUGCUACUGAAUGGUUGACUGUUUAACGCAACACUAUCCACACUUCAAAGAGAUGAAGACAGAGAUGAAGUUUUACGUUUGUGAUGGCUUAACACAGCCCUGUCCUUUGACCUUGCCUUGAGCAUAGGCAGAAUCAUGCAGAAUAGUGCCUACAAGUAAAACAAAAAGCUACUUGGAAAGAAAUGAGAAGAUGGUGGUAUUUGGCACAUGGCAAGACAUGUGAAAAUGAAAUAAAAACAUAAUAGGAACCAAGAAAGAUCAACCAGCUGGAUGGCAGACCAGUAGCUGUUGUUUAGAAAUCAAAACAGGCUCAAACAAAACACCUAAGUCGUAAAUGUUUACCAUUGCCAACUUCAAAGCAUUCAAGCACAGAACGUAAGCCCAUGGGGAAAAAGCUGCAUUAAAGGGCAAGUCUGCAUCAAAGAAAGGAUUAGAAAAAAUUAAAUGCUUACAGUAAUGAUGCUGUGGUCUAAAGCCCUCAGUGAGUUCUCCAUACAGUAGAGGGAUUUAUGAGCUCCCUGGUGAACUUAGGCUCUUAUUUUAAAGCUUUGUAAACAUUUAGAUAAUUGUCACCAUCUGCCUGUAUGGUAGCUGCCUUUUGCAAUGUGAACACAGUGCUGAGGAAUUGUAUGACUUGAGGAAAGGGACAGUGAAUGAGGAGCACAACGGCAAAUUUUUUGACUUUCCUGAAGCUGGCUUCAGUCUUCUCUGCAGAUAAUGACGACAAAAUAUGAUGAUACAGUUAACACGACCUGGGACCUGUUUU
Long non-coding RNA from Oxyura jamaicensis (ruddy duck), 1125 nucleotides. RefSeq lists it as uncharacterized. The record is from RefSeq and is a predicted model, not a curated record. The transcript is spliced from 4 exons. NCBI's taxonomy places the organism in Eukaryota, Metazoa, Chordata, Aves, Anseriformes, Anatidae.